GCCAGGGAGGUGUAGUGGUUUGAGCAUUGGACUACAGCUCUGGAGAUCAGGGUUUGAUUCCCUGCUAGGCCA
This 72-nucleotide transfer RNA is filed under the name Phrynosoma platyrhinos (Desert horned lizard). Its description in RNAcentral is "tRNA-OTHER". The record is from RNAcentral. Lineage: Eukaryota; Metazoa; Chordata; Lepidosauria; Squamata; Phrynosomatidae.